ACUCCUACGGGAGGCAGCAACCGGGAAUCNUGCNCAAUGGACGAAAGUCUGACGCCGCGACGCCGCGUGAGGGAUGAAGGCCUUANGGUUGUAAACCUCUUUUGCCAAGCGGGAGACUUCUUGGCGAAUAANCAUCGGCUAACUACNUGCCGGCAGCAGCGGUAAAACGUANGAUGCAAGCGUUGUCCGGAUUUAUUGGGCGUANAGAGUUCNUANGCGCCUUGCAAAGUUAUGUUUCNAAGCCCGGGGCUUAACCUCGGAAAGGGGCAUAAUACUACCAGGGUUGANGAAUGUUGGGGCUACUANAAUUGUCGGUGUANGGGUGAAAUCCGUUGAUAUUGACAANAACACCGAGGGCGAANGCGGGUAGCUAGGNNUUUCUUGACGCUGAGGAACGAAAGCUAGGGGAGCGAANGCNAUUANAGACCGCUGUAGUCCUANCCGUAAACGAU
This 452-nucleotide ribosomal RNA is filed under the name uncultured bacterium. RNAcentral describes it as "partial 16S ribosomal RNA". It matches the Rfam family "Bacterial small subunit ribosomal RNA", at positions 335 to 810 of the family's 1533-position model. The record is from RNAcentral.